This is a non-coding RNA of Mirounga angustirostris (Northern elephant seal), 73 nucleotides long. Lineage: Eukaryota; Metazoa; Chordata; Mammalia; Carnivora; Phocidae. The record is from the annotation of a RefSeq genome assembly.
GCCUGGCUGGUUCAGUCAGUAGAGCGUGUGGCUCUGGAUCUCAGGGUCGUGAGUUCAAGCCCCACGCUGGGCA